RNAcentral lists this ribosomal RNA (484 nucleotides) under uncultured bacterium. RNAcentral describes it as "partial 16S ribosomal RNA". It matches the Rfam family "Bacterial small subunit ribosomal RNA", at positions 29 to 523 of the family's 1533-position model. The record is from RNAcentral.
AGUGAACGCUGGCGGCGUGCUUAACACAUGCAAGUCGGACGAGAACGGAUUAUAGCUUGCUAUAAUUGUCAGCUAAGUGGCGCACGGGUGAGUAAUGUAUAGGUAAUAUGCCUCUUACUAAGGGAUAACAAAUGGAAACGUUUGCUAAUACCUUAUACUCCUUAUUAACAGAAGUUAAUAAGGGAAAGAUUUAUUGGUAAGAGAUUAGCCUGUAUUGUAUCAGUUAGUUGGUGGGGUAAUGGCUUACCAAGACUAUGACACAUAACUGGUUUGAGAGGAUGAUCAGUCACACUGGAACUGAGACACGGGCCAGACUCCUACGGGAGGCAGCAGUGGGGAAUAUUGCACAAUGGACGAAAGUCUGAUGCAGCAACGCCGCGUGGAGGAUGACACAUUUCGGUGCGUAAACUCCUUUUAUAUGAGAAGAUAAUGACGGUAUUAUAUGAAUAAGCACCGGCUAACUCCGUGCCAGCAGCCGCCGUAA